RNAcentral lists this ribosomal RNA (558 nucleotides) under uncultured bacterium. RNAcentral describes it as "partial 16S ribosomal RNA". It matches the Rfam family "Bacterial small subunit ribosomal RNA", at positions 355 to 902 of the family's 1533-position model. The record is from RNAcentral.
UGGGGAAUUUUGGACAAUGGGCGCAAGCCUGAUCCAGCCAUGCCGCGUGCGGGAAGAAGGCCUUCGGGUUGUAAACCGCUUUUGUCAGGGAAGAAAUCUUCUGAGUUAAUACCUCGGGAGGAUGACGGUACCUGAAGAAUAAGCACCGGCUAACUACGUGCCAGCAGCCGCGGUAAUACGUAGGGUGCAAGCGUUAAUCGGAAUUACUGGGCGUAAAGCGUGCGCAGGCGGUUUUGUAAGACAGAGGUGAAAUCCCCGGGCUCAACCUGGGAACUGCCUUUGUGACUGCAAGGCUUGAGUGCGGCAGAGGGGGGAUGGAAUUCCGCGUGUAGCAGUGAAAUGCGUAGAUAUGCGGAGGAACACCGAUGGCGAAGGCAAUCCCCUGGGCCUGCACUGACGCUCAUGCACGGAAGCGUGGGGAGCAAAACAGGAUUAGAUACCCUGGUAGUCCACGCCCUAAAACGAUGUCAACUGGUUGUUGGGAAGGUUCCUUCUCAGUAACGUAGCUAACGCGUGAAGUUGACCGCCUGGGGAGUACGGCCGCAGGGUUGAAAACUC